GAUGAACGCUAGCUACAGGCUUAACACAUGCAAGUCGAGGGGAAACGACAUCGAAAGCUUGCUUUUGAUGGGCGUCGACCGGCGCACGGGUGAGUAACGCGUAUCCAACCUGCCCAUCACUUGGGAAUAACCUUGCGAAAGUAAGACUAAUACCCAAUGAUAUCCCACGAAGGCAUCGGAAUGGGAUUAAAGAUUUAUCGGUGAUGGAUGGGGAUGCGUCUGAUUAGCUUGUUGGCGGGGUAACGGCCCAUCAAGGCAACGAUCAGUAGGGGUUCUGAGAGGAAGGUCCCCCACAUUGGAACUGAGACACGGUCCAAACUCCUACGGGAGGCAGCAGUGAGGAAUAUUGGUCAAUGGGCGAGAGCCUGAACCAGCCAAGUAGCGUGCAGGAAGACGGCCCUAUGGGUUGUAAACUGCUUUUAUAAGGGAAUAAAGUGGGUCACGUGUGACUUUUUGCAUGUACCUUAUGAAUAAGGACCGGCUAAUUCCGUG
Molecule: ribosomal RNA, 492 nt
Filed under: uncultured bacterium
Lineage: Bacteria
Description: partial 16S ribosomal RNA
Rfam family: Bacterial small subunit ribosomal RNA
Source: RNAcentral